UGGCGGCGUAGGGCAACGGCACGUCUUCCUGGUGCACGCGCAGCGGCGGAGCGUCCAGAUAGUCGAAGGCGUGUUCGAUCACGCGCCGCCACC
Molecule: transfer RNA, 93 nt
Filed under: Brevundimonas vancanneytii
Lineage: Bacteria; Pseudomonadati; Pseudomonadota; Alphaproteobacteria; Caulobacterales; Caulobacteraceae
Description: tRNA-Val(cac)
Source: RNAcentral